RNAcentral lists this non-coding RNA (30 nucleotides) under Mus musculus (house mouse). The record is from RNAcentral. Lineage: Eukaryota; Metazoa; Chordata; Mammalia; Rodentia; Muridae.
UAGGACCGAGGAACAAAAAGCAACUGCAGA